RNAcentral lists this ribosomal RNA (426 nucleotides) under uncultured bacterium. Its description in RNAcentral is "partial 16S ribosomal RNA". It matches the Rfam family "Bacterial small subunit ribosomal RNA", at positions 355 to 774 of the family's 1533-position model. The record is from RNAcentral.
UGGGGAAUAUUGGACAAUGGGCGAAAGCCUGAUCCAGCAAUACCGCGUGUGUGAAUAAGGCCUUCGGGUUGUAAAGCACUUUAAGUUGGGAAGAAAAAACUUUACCUAAUACGUGAAGUCUUGACGGUACCGACAGAAUAAGCACCGGCUAACUCUGUGCCAGCAGCCGCGGUAAUACAGAGGGUGCUAGCGUUAAUCGGAUUUACUGGGCGUAAAGCGUGCGUAGGUGGUUUGAUAAGUCGGUUGUGAAAGCCCCGGGCUCAACCUGGGAAUUGCGGCCGAUACUGUCAGACUCGAAAACGGUAGAGGGAGGUGGAACUCCAGGUGUAGCGGUGAAAUGCGUAGAUAUCUGGAAGAACAUCGAUGGCGAAGGCAGCCUCCUGGGCCUGUUUUGACACUGAGGCACGAAAGCGUGGGUAGCAAACA